RNAcentral lists this ribosomal RNA (468 nucleotides) under uncultured bacterium. Its description in RNAcentral is "partial 16S ribosomal RNA". It matches the Rfam family "Bacterial small subunit ribosomal RNA", at positions 28 to 507 of the family's 1533-position model. The record is from RNAcentral.
GACGAACGCUGGCGGCGUGCUUAACACAUGCAAGUCGAACGGAAAGGCCCUGCUUUUGUGGGGUGCUCGAGUGGCGAACGGAUGAGUAACACGUGAGUAACCUGCCCGUGACUUUGGGAUAACUUCAGGAAACUGGGGCUAAUACCGGAUAGGAGCUCCUGCUGCAUGGUGGGGGUUGGAAAGUUUCGGCGGUUGGGGAUGGACUCGCGGCUUAUCAGCUUGUUGGUGGGGUAGUGGCUUACCAAGGCUUUGACGGGUAGCCGGCCUGAGAGGGUGACCGGCCACAAUGGGACUGAGAUACGGCCCAGACUCCUACGGGAGGCAGCAGUGGGGAAUAUUACACAAUGGGCGGAAGCCUGAUGCAGCAACGCCGCGUGCGGGAUGACGGCCUUCGGGUUGUAAACCGCUUUCGCCUGUGACGAAGCGUGAGUGACGGUAAUGGGUAAAGAAGCACCGGCUAACUACGUG